RNAcentral lists this ribosomal RNA (244 nucleotides) under uncultured Staphylococcus sp. Its description in RNAcentral is "partial 16S ribosomal RNA". It matches the Rfam family "Bacterial small subunit ribosomal RNA", at positions 96 to 334 of the family's 1533-position model. The record is from RNAcentral. Lineage: Bacteria; Bacillati; Bacillota; Bacilli; Caryophanales; Staphylococcaceae.
CGGCGGACUGGUGAGUAACACGUGGAUAACCUACCUAUAAGACUGGGAUAACUUCGGGAAACCGGAGCUAAUACCGGAUAACAUAUUGAACCGCAUGGUUCAAUAGUGAAAGGCGGCUUUGCUGUCACUUAUAGAUGGAUCCGCGCCGUAUUAGCUAGUUGGUAAGGUAACGGCUUACCAAGGCAACGAUACGUAGCCGACCUGAGAGGGUGAUCGGCCACACUGGAACUGAGACACGGUCCAG